This 66-nucleotide transfer RNA is filed under the name Microcebus tavaratra. RNAcentral describes it as "tRNA-Thr". The record is from RNAcentral. Lineage: Eukaryota; Metazoa; Chordata; Mammalia; Primates; Cheirogaleidae.
GCCCUUGUAGUAUAUCUAAUACUCUGGUCUUGUAAACCAAAAAUGGAAAUCAUUUUCCCUAGGGCA